This 253-nucleotide ribosomal RNA is filed under the name uncultured bacterium. RNAcentral describes it as "partial 16S ribosomal RNA". It matches the Rfam family "Bacterial small subunit ribosomal RNA", at positions 524 to 776 of the family's 1533-position model. The record is from RNAcentral.
UACAGAGAGUGCAAACGUUGUUCGGAAUUACUGGGCUUAAAGCGCACGUAGGCGGCGCCGCAAGUGUUGGGUGAAAUCCCACGGCUUACCCGUGGAACUGCCCAGGAGACUGCGGUGCUAGAGGAUGGUAGGGGAGAGCGGAACUCCUGGUGGAGCGGUGAAAUGCGUAGAUAUCUGGAGGAACACCGGUGGCGAAGGCGGCAUCCUGGCCCGGUAUUGACGCUGAGGCGCGAAAGCCAGGGGAGCAAACGGG